CCUACGGGGGGCUGCAGUAAGGAAUAUUGGUCAAUGGACGCAAGUCUGAACCAGCCAUGCCGCGUGGAGGAUGAAGGUCCUCUGGAUUGUAAACUUCUUUUAUUUGGGAAGAAACUCCCGAUUUCCAUCGGGAUGGACGGUACCAGAUGAAUAAGCACCGGCUAACUCCGUGCCAGCAGCCGCGGUAAUACGGAGGGUGCAUGCGUUCUCCGGAUACAGGGGGUUUAGGGGGUCAGGUGGUGCACUGGUGAAAUCUCCGGGUUUAACCCGGAAACUGCCAUUGAUACUAUUUGUCUUGAAUACUCUGGAGGUGAGCGGAAUAUGUCAUGUAGCGGUGAAAUGCUUAGAUAUGACAUAGAACACCCAUUGCGAAGGCAGCUCACUACGGAAAUAUUGACGCUGAGGCACGAAAGCGUGGGGAUCAAACAGGAUUAGAUACCCGUGUAGUC
Molecule: ribosomal RNA, 449 nt
Filed under: uncultured bacterium
Lineage: Bacteria
Description: partial 16S ribosomal RNA
Rfam family: Bacterial small subunit ribosomal RNA
Source: RNAcentral